Molecule: long non-coding RNA, 303 nt
Organism: Oncorhynchus kisutch (coho salmon)
Lineage: Eukaryota; Metazoa; Chordata; Actinopteri; Salmoniformes; Salmonidae
Exons: 2
Source: RefSeq, a predicted model, not a curated record
CAACAGAUUCCUGAGAGGUAAAUGUUUGAAGGUAGAUCAGUCAAUAAGAGACAGAACAUUGACAAGGGUCAUAUUCAUUAAGGAAUGCAACGGGAAACAUUUGAUGUUUCGUAGUUGACAGCAAUUCAACAUAGCAUAGAUGAGAGGCCUACCUGCUGCUGCAAUGUCGACUGUAUCUCAUCUAUCCUUGAGCAACGGCCCACUCGUCUCACACACUUGCAGGUGAUGUGCACCGACGCGCUAAAGUGUCAUUCCGAUCAUGUCUGAUAUCUUGAUUGACUCAUAAAAUAUUUUUUAACUUUG